GCUCCACAGUGCUGUUGGGUUCUGUGGUGGAGGCAUUCACCCUCUCCUCUGCCUCAAGAGACAUCUGGAAAUACUUGGUAAUGCUAUCCAAGGCACCUAGGGUAGGAAAUGAAAUUGCCCACAGUUAACCUCAUCAUACUAGGCUUCCUCCCCAAGCAGUGUCUAUAUUUGGUGUCUUCGGGUCCUAAAUUUACUGUAAAGUUUUAAAAUUCAAGAAAAAAUAUUUAUGAAGUACAGUUUUCAUGAGCAAUGAAUAUGUUUUGUCCCAUUAGCACCUACUCCAGCUCGAGUAUGGCAAACAUCUGGGUGAAAAAUGAAAAAUUAAGAAAAUCAUGCAAUCUUGUUUCUAUACACAAGCAAACAUCCAGUUCUUUAUAAAUAGCUGGUUUCAGGCAGCCUGAAGAUUAUAUGACUAGAUGACUUUUCUCAAUCCUUUAUUCGGAUCCACUCAAAUGACUAAUAUAGUAGCCCUCCAUAUUUGUAGGUUCCACAUAUGUGGAUUCAACCAACUGUGGAUGGAAAGCAUUUGGAAAAAAUGGUUGUAUCUGUACUGAAUGUGUACAGACUUUUUUCUUGCCAUUAUUUCCUAAACAAUAAAGUAUAACAACUAUUUACAUAGCAUUUACAUUGUAUUAGGUAUUGUAAGUAAUCUACAGAUUACUUUUAAAUAUACUGAAGGGAAAAAAAGAAAAAAGUAAAGCUGGGUGUGGUGGUUCACCUCUAUAAUCUCAGCUAUUCAGAAGUCUGAGACGGGAGGAUCACUUGAGUCCAGGAGUUCAAGACCAGCCUGAGCAGCAUAGCAAGAGCCCAUCUCUUAAAGAAAGAAAGAAAGAGAGAGAGAGAAAAAGAAAGAAGUAUAUAGGAGGAUAUGCAUAGGUUAUAUGCAAGUGCCAUUUUAUAUAACGGACUUGACCACCUGUGGAUUUUGGUUUCUGCAGUGGGUCCUGGAACCAAUCCCCCAUGGAUACCAAGGGAUGACGGUAUUAUAUAUAACAGCAUGACAUGUUUUUAGCUUUAGUCCAAAAGCAAUCAUGCAUAAAACAGUAUGGAUAGUUGGACAGUAUGAUGUAACAUAUUUCUACAUUCACUUUUUGCUGAGGAUCCUUUACAGUCUAUGAUAUAAAUAAUGAUUUGCAAAAGUUUUUUUCUGACCAAGCAGCAUUCUUGAAUGUGAAAGGAUUUGCAGAAGUAUUAAUACCUUAACUAUUCAAAAGAACCCCCUUCCAAGAAAAGGCCAGGGGAUUAAACUACUAACUGGAGGGAAAAAAAAAAAAUCAGGAAAUGGAUACCAUUCUGAUACAACUACUGCCAUUCACUCUGUGGGACCUUUGCUAUGUCUCUUAGGUUCUCUGUGCCCAAGUCCCACAUUUGUAAAAUGGGGACUUUGAUCCUCAUUUGUGCCAGAAACUGGAUGAGCAAAAGUUUUAAAAUUUAUUAGAAAACUUUUUUUUUUCCCCAAAAGUGCUAUAUUAAAACGUUAGACAUAUCGUUAAAUCCAUUGUCUGGGACUAUUUGCACCAAAAAAUGCUCACCCCGAAUAUCUGAGUUUUUGAUAAAUUCCAGUUGUUCAGCAAGUUCUUUCACAGUGUUGUCUAGGCUUUCGGCUUCUGUCUGUAGAGAAUCCAGUUCUUUGGCUGUGCUGUUGCUUUGGGAAGUUGUGUCAGAUAAUUUCACUUCUACUUGAGCCAUCAUUUCUGUAACAUCUUUAAUCAGUUUCCUGUAAAGAGAAAGUUAAGCUUACUUACAUAAAAUAAACCCAAGGGAGAACUUUCACGUUUCAUAUUUUCUACUAGUACUGUAUCCAUUACUAAUUUCAAACCAAUUCAGUAAUUUGUAACAUUUCAUCCCUAAGUGCUAGUUUUAUUUUCCUUAUAACAGAUAGUAUUAAAUCUAACAAUUUUUCUUUGUUCAAUGACUUUUGAGAGAAACACAGAAGUACCACUCAGCUGAGUUGUGGCAGACAAGCCAUUUAAGGGAUUCCAAAUUUCUGCUGUAAGAUGAGCACAGGUCAGAGUGUGGAGUUCUGGCUCUAUUCACAGGCAGCUUCAAGCCCUUACAAUUGUGAAAACUGAAGACAUAAAUGACUCCAGUUAUACAAUUAGGCCUCCCAGCCACAAGCCCAAAACAUUCUUCCCUAAGCCUCAGGGAUCUCCUUCAAGAUGGAACAUGCAGAGGGGAAGCCCUAUAGCCUGCCACAAAGACAACAGGAGCCACCAGUAUCAGCUUUCAUACACUCCUCUCUUCCGUCAGAGGGGCCUCCUUCUACCAACAGCCUUUUUAUUUUUUAUAAGAAAAUAGCAUCUACUAAGAAUGAAAUAAGAAGAUUUAGCUUUCACAGUAUUUAAUUUGGAAUCUAAACUGCAUUUUGUUCUGUACUUUCAAACCUACAAAGCCGUACUUUUGACAUCUAUUUGUAUAUUAUUGUGUACAUAGUGUGGAUAUGGGUGUGUGUGUGCACAUGCGAGUGUGCUCCAGGUGGGUGUGGGUAGGGUUGUAUGUGUAUUGUAAAGAAAGUAAUAUUUGAGCAGAUUUUACCUCUGGGUAUUACUGGUUCACCUAAUUGAAUGUAAUUGUCUUCUUGGCGAUAUAAUAGUAUAAAAAACCAGGAAAAUGUAAAGAUGCUGAAAGGUUGGGAGCCAUUAGAAAAAUGAUAUGUAAGGCUGAGAUAAAACUAUAACCCAACUCAAAGAAAAAGUACUUAAAGGGAUGGUUUAAAAUGGUAGAUUAAAUUACAUUUCAGUGCCUUUUUUUCCUGAGGCUAAUAUACAUAGUUUCUUUUUUCAGUGCUUUGCUUUUAUUAAUUAUAUGACUCACAGAAGGCUUUCAUUUCUUCUCAGGUCUCAUAAAAUGAUACAAUUUUUUUUAAAACAAGCAAAUCUAACAUCGUAUUUUAAAAUAAGGCCACUUUGGUUCCUAAAACAUGUAUCCUUGGAUAGUAUGUUGAAAAAAAAGAGUAAUGGAACUAGUUUUCCUGUGAUUAUUACAAUCUGUCUAGUUAAAUGAAUAGUGACGGUAGAAACAGAGCUGUUUUGGGAAUGUAAUCUCUCUUCUGGCAGGCUCUCAAAGGACACCAGAUUUUUUUCUUCCUCCCAGAGAUGCCUAAGACCCAGGCCAAGGAUCAUUUCCUAAAUGGGCUUGCAUUCGGACCACGGCCUGCCAAAACUGUGAUCUCUGCACAUUAGGAGGCUUAGUCUUUUCAGUGAGGUAAAAUGCCUCACUAAAUGCAUUGUCACUCUACAUCAGACGUUUCCUAACACUCUGGCCAGCUACAUGGUCUUGGGCAUAAAACCCAAGGCUUGACAUCAAGGUCCAGUUACUUUAAAUCUAGGUCUAGGAAGGACCUCCUUCAAGUCGCUUGAGCUAAUGUCAGCUGUCCUCUGCUACUCAUGCCUGGUAUGAGAUGAAAAGUCCCUCUGGCUUCUUAAAGGUGCUGAUUAAAGUCUCAUCACACACAAAAAAUGUUACUGUCAUUUCGUCAUAUAAACACCUCAGUGUGCAGGAUUUAACUGUGAAGCAGUCCCCUCAGGCCUAGAUGGUGAGUCUGCAGUGAAAAAACCAUAGCAUCUAGGGAAGCACAGAUGCCUCAUACCCUUUUCUAUUUUUGUCCUUUAGCACUUAGGUCUUAUUGUGCUGUUUUGGGGGUUCCUUUUUGGCAAAAGGAGUUGGGAAGUUUAGGGGCAAGAGAGGGGAGGUAGGAGAAAGGGUAGAUAAAUGAUCCUUGAGAAGGUCAAUUCUCUAGGCUUCCACUAACAAACACUGUCCAAUCAGAGGGAAGAUUACCUAGAGAAGGGGUGGGAUGAGGACUUUUCAGCAUAGAGCAGCUGUUAUAACUAGAUGAAUGAAGCACUGGUCUGGUGGACUAAUGGCGGAGAAGCAGAAAAAACUUGAAGUAAGCAGUCUUAUUUUGAGGUAAUGGAAUUUCCCCCAUAGUAGCAAUACUUAAUUUAUAAUUUUCUGCAAUCCUGUUGUUAUUUUAUAUAUAAAUCCUUUCAUUACUUCAUAAGGUAAUGGCAUAUAUUAUCCUACCCCUUCUCCACAGGAGAGAAAAUACAGGCUCAGGAAUUGAGUCAUCCAAGUUCACAAGCCUAGCAUCAGAGCCAAGACUCAAUUAUGGAUCUUUGUCUUCUAAAUCCAGCAUUCCUCCCAUUUUACUGACUUAGAACAUGAUUUGCAAGGAGGAGCACUGAAUAUAAUGCUUGCAUAUUCUGUACUGCAGCCUCCAGAAGGCUGGUCCCCACUGAUGUGCCAACGUUCACUCACCCAAAUGCCCAGUCAAGACUGCUGGAAAAUAAAUGGCUCAGAAUCUGUUCUCACCCACAGGACUAACAAAACCUCCUGAUGGAAGCACCAUGCCAGGAAAUCUUUGCUGUUAACUCACAAUAUUUUUUCAGCUUUAUGAGUAAUUCCUCUGGCUCAUUAACUACUUACUCUGCUUCCUCAAAGAGAUUCCCAAUGUUUUUCAGUGGCUCUGCUGCGGGGCUCUGCGCCAGGAUGUCUUUUAUCUCGCUGACUUUCCUCUCCACCGAGUCCACAGUCUCACGCUCUCGAGUGGCAGGUUUGAGGAGUACAGCAUUAUGGUUAAGAGCAUGAACUGCGGACUGAGGUGGUAAAUCCUGCCUUCUCCACACAUGUUAUGUGACCCUGGGUAAUCAGGAAACUGAGUCACGUCUUCCACAUCUGUAAG
This 4684-nucleotide long non-coding RNA is filed under the name Homo sapiens (human). RNAcentral describes it as "HSALNT0127159". Lineage: Eukaryota; Metazoa; Chordata; Mammalia; Primates; Hominidae. The record is from RNAcentral.